GAUGUUUGUAAUAAGGAUUGGUUUGAUGUAAAUGUGUCUUAUGAACCAAGAUGGAUCAUAUAUUUUGCAGGAUCAGGUGUGGUGAUUGUGCAAAUCUUAUUUGCCUUGAAAUUCUACAAAACGUUUCAUACCAACAAUGAAGAAAAUACAAGACUCCAACAAGUGGAAGUGAUUUCAGAACGAACUCCAUUAAUAUCUAGGAAAGACAGUGAUCUUUCAAGUUGGAGUUCAUCUUAUGAUUCUUUCUCUAGUGAAAGUUCUGAUGAAGAAGGAAAAUCAAUAAUUGAAGGGGAAACUAGUAGUAAUCUUCACUGCUUGUGUGUUAUCUGUGUUGAUGUCACAAGAGAUUGCAUUUUUCUCCCAUGUGGCCAUUUUGCAACAUGUUUUGCUUGUGGUAAAAGAGUUGCCGAAGAAACUUGCAGUUGCCCCAUUUGCAGAAGAAAAUUGAAGAAACUAAGAAGAAUUUAUGUUGUGUAAUUUAGACUAGUGUACAAUGGAUGUAAAUAGGCCUUUAUGGAGUUUCAAAAGAAAAUGAUUAGAUUAAUUAAGAUAUGCAUUAUUUUUUCAUAACAUUAUUUAUCUAAUUUUAUAAAUAUACUUCCAUUUUUUCAUAGAACAA
Long non-coding RNA from Trifolium pratense (red clover), 619 nucleotides. RefSeq lists it as uncharacterized. NCBI's taxonomy places the organism in Eukaryota, Viridiplantae, Streptophyta, Magnoliopsida, Fabales, Fabaceae. The record is from RefSeq and is a predicted model, not a curated record. The transcript has 3 exons.